AUUUUCACUUAAUAGACAAUUCUUAACCAGCCUUUUGGCUCCAGUUUCUUAAGGAUGGCCCUCUAUCUGAUCGCAGCUAUAAAACUAAGGACUCUUUUAUACGAAGAAAGCAGAGAAUUUGAUAUUAAAUUGUGAGAUUGAAAAGCACCACUUUUAGCAGCCAGUUUAUAAGGCAGCUAGGAACAUCCUAAAAUGCCUGCUGGUCACAGUUCCCUUCUGAGCAAAGCAGCUAUAUGGUCUCUACGCAUAAGUCUGCUUUCUUCAAACACAGGAUCCACUCCAUUGUGACUAGGUUGAUAAAGCACGGUGAUUGUGUGUAUGAAACUACUCUGCUCACUUUUCUCAAUAAGGAGCAGUCCCAGGAAGGUGCUUUAAAUCUUCGUGGAUCAUUGAGCUGGGCCGGAACACAAAGGGCUGGUCAAGGUUCAAAGAUUAGGCAGAAUUUCUCUCCAACAAGAUUCAAGCUUGCUUUCACUUUGCAUCACCGGAACAAACAAGCAGAGCAAAGGCUCCCCUACCCGGGAGGACUGAUGGGAGACAGCUGUGGUUCCUCUUGCUCUUACUUUCUCAAAAAGGUGCACCAGGGUUCGGAGCCUCAAUCGAGCAGAAACAAGAAGGAUAAAAAGGUAUUCCAAGGACAGACCGGCUACUGCACCCAGGGAAGAACCUGCUGUGUGAAUGGGAGGAUCUGACUGCUCUGACGAAGCCUUUAUGCGCUCCGUUAAGGUCACUGCCACAGCAUGGCUGAUGAGUGCUGUAGGUCCACGCCUGGGAUCCGAAUCCACGAAUCCAGGCCACUGAAGCGGGGCUUGCCAAACUUAACCACCAGGCACAGGGCCAGCCCCUCUUUUUCUUUCUUUGAAUAGGCUGCUAUCACAUAUCUUUUAAUGCCAUUUGGAGCAGAGUGUUGGUUAUGAAAUAUAAAUGCUGUGCAACUCAAAUCUCAAAGAUAUUUGAAGGAAUAGAAAUAAAUUAUUGAUAUAAAUAAAUUAUAAAAAAUAAAAUACAAAGAGUAUGUUAUAGUUACGUUUCUCACUGUACUAUUUCAGGUAAUGAGAAGAUGAUUACAUGAUGUUGGAAUGACUGUAAAUUACUAAUUAAUUUAGUCAAUAGCUUAUUUUACUAAUUCAACGU
This 1134-nucleotide long non-coding RNA is filed under the name Equus caballus (horse). Its description in RNAcentral is "lncRNA (ENSECAG00000044491.1)". The record is from RNAcentral. Lineage: Eukaryota; Metazoa; Chordata; Mammalia; Perissodactyla; Equidae.